This 71-nucleotide transfer RNA is filed under the name Bacteroidota bacterium. RNAcentral describes it as "tRNA-Ala". It matches the Rfam family "tRNA". Rfam says of the family: Transfer RNA (tRNA) molecules are approximately 80 nucleotides in length. Lineage: Bacteria; Pseudomonadati; Bacteroidota. The record is from RNAcentral. RNAcentral also lists the same sequence under 1 other name.
GGGCUUAUAGUACAGUGGUAGUACGCUGCAUUCGCAUUGCAGAGACGUGGGUUCAAUUCCCGCUAAGUCCA